Molecule: non-coding RNA, 62 nt
Organism: Streptomyces fradiae
Lineage: Bacteria; Bacillati; Actinomycetota; Actinomycetes; Kitasatosporales; Streptomycetaceae
Source: Rfam
GCCGGUCCUCGGUAGUGGCCGUCGGAGGCAGCCGUCUCCGGAGGCUUCGAUCGAAGACCGGC